CACGAACCGGGCAAACGUUAUUCGGAAUUACUGGGCUUAAAGGGUGCGUAGGCGGCGCUGUAAGUCGGGUGUGAAAUCCCACGGCUCAACCGUGGAACUGCGCCCGAUACUGCAGUGCUUGAGGAAGAUAGAGGUGAGCGGAACGAAUGGUGGAGCGGUGAAAUGCGUUGAUAUCAUUCGGAACACCCGUGGCGAAAGCGGCUCACUGGGUCUUUUCUGACGCUGAGGCACGAAAGCUAGGGGAGCGAACGGGAUUAGAAACCCGCGUAGUCC
RNAcentral lists this ribosomal RNA (273 nucleotides) under uncultured bacterium. RNAcentral's name for it is "partial 16S ribosomal RNA". It matches the Rfam family "Bacterial small subunit ribosomal RNA", at positions 524 to 796 of the family's 1533-position model. The record is from RNAcentral.